Molecule: ribosomal RNA, 632 nt
Filed under: uncultured bacterium
Lineage: Bacteria
Description: bacterial SSU rRNA
Rfam family: Bacterial small subunit ribosomal RNA
Source: RNAcentral
ACCUGCAAGUCUGAACGGGGGAGCAUCCCUAGUGGCGAACGGCGGAGUAAUACAUGAGGAACGUGCCCUGAAGACUGGGAUAGUCGUUGGAAACGACGUUUAAUACCAGAUGUGGCGGAGGCUUGGCAUCAAGCUUCCACUAAACGGUUUUUCGCUUCAGGAGUGCCUCAUGGCCUAUCAGGUAGUUGGUGAGGUAAUGGCUCACCAAGCCGACGACGGGUAGCGGGUCUCAGAGGAUGAUCCGCUCGAGUGGGACUGAGACACGGCCACACACCUACGGGUGGCAGCAGUUGGGAAUCUUGCACAAUGGGGGAAACCCUGAUGCAGCGACGCCGCGUGGAGGAUGAAGGGUCUAGGCUCGUAAACUCCUUUUAUGGGGAAAGACUUAGGACGGUACCCCAUGAAUAAGGACCGGCUAACUACGUGCCAGCAGCCGCGGUAAUACGAAGGGGGCUAGCGUUGCUCGGAAUUACUGGGCGUAAAGGGCGCGUAGGCGGACAGUUUAGUCAGAGGUGAAAGCCCAGGGCUCAACCUUGGAACUGCCUUUGAUACUGGCUGUCUUGAGUUCGGGAGAGGUGCGUGGAACUCCGAGUGUAGAGGUGAAAUUCGUAGAUUUCGGAAGAACACCAGUG